Long non-coding RNA from Neopelma chrysocephalum (saffron-crested tyrant-manakin), 2459 nucleotides. RefSeq lists it as uncharacterized. The transcript is spliced from 2 exons. Lineage: Eukaryota; Metazoa; Chordata; Aves; Passeriformes; Pipridae. The record is from RefSeq and is a predicted model, not a curated record.
CAUGUCUUCAGCCGAAACCUUUAAGUCUCGGCAACUUCCUCUGAGGAUGCUGAAGCAAACACUGUCCAGACCUGCAAGUGAACAAGUUACAAAUGACAUCUCUGGUUUGAAAUGCCUCAGUUGCUGCUGGGCCAUCUCUCUGUCUGCUGAGUAUCAUCUCUGGUGUUUAUUUAACCACCCUUGCCCUACUAGGUGAGAGCCACCAUCCUUGAACUGAUGGCUGUGAGUUCUUCCCUCCUCCCAAGAGACAAAUAGGCAUAUUUGUGGGUACCUGUAUGUGGUUCAGACAGAAGUUCCAGAAAAUGUUCCUUUCUCCCUUCUGGCAACCUCCCUGCCUUGCUCCCCCUUCUUUAUCCUGCCUUUAUGCCAUGUACAGCAUAUGGCAUGUGCUUUGGGAGAUAUGCAAGGCCAGGCAUGGGCUUUGGAUGCUUUUAUUGUGCAAUGGUGAGUGCUCUCUUCUCCCAUAUCCUCUUUGCUGAUGUGCAGUGUGCUGGUAGUCACGUCCUUGAUAAGAAUGGCUUUCUUGCUAAGACCCUCAUCUGUAAUCAUAGCCCAGCAUCUUAAAGCCAGCAAUAAACCAUUUUUCCCUGCUGAUAGCAGCCCUCAGCCCGCCCUGGACCUUGCUGAAGAUCUGUGAAUGGCUAGAGAAUAACAGACCAGUGGAUGGAGGAUGUUGCAGAGCAAAGGUUGUCUAUGAAGAUGAUGUGACUAUGGAUUUGCUCUGUAGAGCGUGCAGGGUGAAAUGAAUUCUGUUUAUUUGAUUGCUAACUUCUACCACAGAAGAAUUUUCACACUCAACCCCUAGCAAUGUCCUUGGCUAAUGUGACCUGUACUUAGCAGCAGGACCCAAACCCCACUAUGAUCCUGACUCUGUACUGACCCAUACAACACACCUGGCCCAUAUAUGCACAAGCAUGUAUUAUAGUGCUAGGGAACUGUAUCAUCUUUCUAUCAUUCUAGUUUCUCAGUCCUAAGAUUUACUCCCUAUUCCUGGCAUUUUCUCUACCUUCCACUGCCUACCCAUGGCAAUCUUUCACCCCAAGCUUAAGGCUGAGCACAUCCACCAUCCCUACAAACUUCAUGGAAAGCCACUUGAUGUGACUGGCUCAAGUGCUUUUGCAGCUGUAUCUCAUAAUGACAAGAACUGGGUACCAGGCCUUAUAAUUUCUCCACAAUCCUCACAUUAUUCAGGAAUAAUCCUACGCUUUAGGCUCUUUUUACCCCACAGCCUGAUUCCAACCUUAAGCAUAAGCUAUCAGCCAGCACUCCUUGAAACACAAGCAGAAGCAUUCUGCUUUACUGAGUACCAGCACUCAGGCUUGCCCUGAGGAGGAAAGAGGUGGUGCUCUUUAGUCCUCAGUGUCCCAAUCCCUCACCUUGACUUUAGUGUCUGAAGACCUGAUGCUCCUUAUCUCUGUACCUCUGAGUUCCAGAGCCACUCACCCCUGCCAGCCCCAGCCACGUGUUUCUAAGGUAUUUGCUAGAGUCCAGGCAUGGGGAUGGAGGCAUCCACUGGGACUUGCUGGGUUUAGGGGCUGGAAGUUGUGUUUGUCAGAAGUUGUGCUUGGUGGGGCAGGGCACGUAUUGUGGAGUUUAGGGUGGAAAGAUUAUGGUUGGGCACAGCUUGAAGGAUCAACUGGCUUACUCCAGCUGCUGAGGGGAUGGUAGGCUGGGUGCAACCUAGAGCAUGGGGCGAGGGGGAGCGUGACAGUGUCUGUACAUCAGACAGACACUGAUGGUGUGUUCCACUGAUCACUCUCCUUUCUUAAGAAAGGCUUCUUUGCUCCUGCCUGCCUACAUCUCACUAUGAGCUUUACUUUGCACUCUUAAGGUCACAACUUCUUUUUUUCAAAAAAAAAAAAAAUGUCCUGUAAUCAAGACCUGUGAAGUGUGCUGAGAUCAGCCUGCUGCCUCAUUCUUUGCACUCUCAUGGAUGGGCAGCUUUCUUGUGUGUCAAGUGAAAACUUCCUCACCCAACCCCGUAGUGCUGGACUCACCCUGAGCCAAGCCAGGUCUCCUCCCACGUCGCUCACGUUAGGCAGCCUCACCCCAUCUCUUACAGGAAUACCCAACCUACGCAACGUGUGCCUCACCGAGGCUCUCUUGUUUGCAGACACCUCCUGAAACACAACACGUGUGCAUUUUUAUGGCCAAUUUGGACAACGUCAUCGCUCCAGAUGGUAACUGCAACUUCUAGAUAAGACCCGACGUGUGACAACCUAAGAAACACCAAACUGAGGAGGAAGGAAGGAAUCGUCCGUUUUCAAACGCCAGCAUGGCUACAUAUACUGACACUGUUGCACAAACACAAACAAUUUUAACUGGAACAGUUGCUUCUUGGUAGUUGUUCCAUUACCUGUAAUUGAUUAUGCCAGAGCUUGCAGCCUCUAUGAUCAGAAAGCGACUUCCUCUGUGUGCUUUCGAAUCAGAUUAAUAAAGGGAAACAAUAUUUCUACUGA